This is a small nuclear RNA of Balaenoptera musculus (blue whale), 164 nucleotides long. Its record names the gene U1. It matches the Rfam family "U1 spliceosomal RNA". Rfam says of the family: U1 is a small nuclear RNA (snRNA) component of the spliceosome (involved in pre-mRNA splicing). Its 5' end forms complementary base pairs with the 5' splice junction, thus defining the 5' donor site of an intron. There are significant differences in sequence and secondary structure between metazoan and yeast U1 snRNAs, the latter being much longer (568 nucleotides as compared to 164 nucleotides in human). The record is from Ensembl. NCBI's taxonomy places the organism in Eukaryota, Metazoa, Chordata, Mammalia, Artiodactyla, Balaenopteridae.
AUACUUAUCUGGCAGGGGAGACAUCAUGAUCAUGAAGGUGGUUUUUCCAGGGUGAGGCUUAACCAUUGCACUGCGGGUGUGCUGACCCCUGGAAUUUCCCCAAAUGCAGGAAACUCAACUGUGUAAUUUGUGGUAGUGAGGGACUGCAUUAGCACUCUCCCCUG